CCUACGGGAGGCAGCAGUGGGGAAUAUUGCACAAUGGGCGGAAGCCUGAUGCAGCGACGCCGCGUGAGGGAUGAAGGCCUUCGGGUUGUAAACCUCUUUCAGCAGGGACGAAGCGUGAGUGACGGUACCUGCAGAAGAAGCACCGGCUAACUACGUGCCAGCAGCCGCGGUAAUACGUAGGGUGCGAGCGUUGUCCGGAAUUACUGGGCGUAAAGAGUUCGUAGGCGGUUUGUCGCGUCGUUUGUGAAAACCCGGGGCUCAACUUCGGGCUUGCAGGCGAUACGGGCAGACUUGAGUGUUUCAGGGGAGACUGGAAUUCCUGGUGUAGCGGUGAAAUGCGCAGAUAUCAGGAGGAACACCGGUGGCGAAGGCGGGUCUCUGGGAAACAACUGACGCUGAGGAACGAAAGCGUGGGUAGCAAACAGGAUUAGAUACCCUGGUAGUCCACGCCGUAAACGGUGGGCGCUAGGUGUGGGUUCCUUCCACGGGAUCUGUGCCGUAGCUAACGCAUUAAGCG
This 517-nucleotide ribosomal RNA is filed under the name Rhodococcus sp. PDA19. RNAcentral describes it as "bacterial SSU rRNA". It matches the Rfam family "Bacterial small subunit ribosomal RNA", at positions 338 to 866 of the family's 1533-position model. The record is from RNAcentral. Lineage: Bacteria; Bacillati; Actinomycetota; Actinomycetes; Mycobacteriales; Nocardiaceae.